Molecule: non-coding RNA, 3168 nt
Organism: Lonchura striata (white-rumped munia)
Lineage: Eukaryota; Metazoa; Chordata; Aves; Passeriformes; Estrildidae
Source: RefSeq, a predicted model, not a curated record
AAAGCGCUCCAAAUGGCCUUUCAAACAAGAAAACCCUUCAAGGAAAAAUGGGCACACAUCCCCUUCCAGGCACCUUGCCAAAAUCUUCCAAGCACCCUACCUGGCAUCCUAGCUUAAGUUUCUUCAAGAAGCUGGGGAGAGCCGCGGAGGCGCCUGGUUGAGGCGCAAGCGAGGCGGCCGGGCCGAGCGAAGAGCCACCCUGACCUGGUGAAAAUUAGAAAUACUGCAAUGCAAAGCGUACUGCAGCACCUCUUGAAAGGGAAUUGCCAGAAUUUAAUUGCAUCCUCCUCUUCUUAAACAAGUUUAAAAUAGGCUUUCAUACCUAGAGGCGAUUUUUUGGUUAUUGAGGAAGUGGAUUUGCCUAGAAAAAGCCUUUGUGCUUUUAGUCAUCAGGCCCUCGUGAUUGCAGGGACCACUUGGUGGAUGUGCCUCCUGGAGUGGUGGUCCUCAUGGACAAAUCCCCCAGCCCAGAAUGGUCCACCGUGCUUUCCCCAUGCCCUUGGCUCCCAGUGGCACUGGCGCACCAAGGCGGGGUCCCGGGGCUCUGCAGAGGGGGCUCUGGCCCCAGCACGUCCUUCCCCAGAAGGCAAGCUGGUGAUUGCAGGGAACAGAAACAGCUGUCCAAAACUGCCAGCUCUGCCAGGCUGAUGGCAAAGGAAUUCCUUCAAAUAAGGGAAAUUGAUAUGUUGAUAUGCUGCAUUUUUAAAAUGGCCUGUGAUGUUACAUGAUAAGCUGUUUUAGGGCUUGUAGGUCAUUAGCUCAGUGCAUCUGAAAAAAAUAAUAUCUGAAGACAGACUUCUAAAGGAUUCACUUUAAAUAGCUUAUUCUGUGAGAAUGAAAAAACAUCAAACCAAAACUAUCGCUGAACACUGAUUCCUGUUUCUUUCACACUGCAGAAGUGUCAGUGUGCAAGAUGGAAAAUCAAGCCCACUGGGACAGGACAUAUUUUGAAUCUGUGUUUUUUUGCAAGAUGGAAGAAAACAAAGCAGCUGCCCACAAGGUUUCAUCUUGCUCUGAGUCCCAUGGCAACUCCACCAGUGAAGAGGGGAGAUGAAUUUUGCCCAUUGCUUAGCAGUACCUUGCAAAGUAUACAUGGAGGUAUCAGUCAUCUUCUUGGUCUAAAUACUAUUGAAAUUUAGCCACCUUUUGGAUGGCCCACCUUAUAUAUUUUUUUACUUUCUUUCUUCUUUUUCCUUCAAAAUUUAAAAGGAACUUUGAUUUUUUAUUGUUUACAUUCAAUAUUUAUCUCCAUUAAGAUAGUAUUGAUAUAAUUUUGCAUGCAUGUUGUUCUAAAGUCACUGAAACCAGUGGUAAAGAGUACUGAAGAACAUUGUUUGCCAUGAAUCUGAAAAUUUAUAAACAUUAAUAUAUUUGUUUAAUAUAAGAAAAUGAAUAGGCAGGACAGAUUUUGUUGCACAGUUCUGAAAUUUGGCUCUUUGUCUAAUGCCAAUGUAAAAAAUAAGUGGGUUUUAAGCUAUGCAAAGUUUAAACUAUCCAGCAUCUUUGUCACUUAUUUCACGUCAAGUGGACAUAGAAUGUAGCGAUUGUGAUAAGGAGGCUUUUCACAUCCAUUUCUACCAGUAGUAACCCAAGACACAGAGGGGGGUAAAGAACAAGGGUCAUAUUUAUAAUAUGGAAUGCUACAAAAUGUAUCUCUUCAAGUUUUCAGCUGAACUGAGAUAUUUAUCUUAACAAGAUCUAAUUAGACCUAAUUUCCAUAGCAUAUCAAUUAUUUUCCUCAUUAGAGUAGCUAAUGCCAUGUUCAGAUAUCAUGGCAAUCAAGCUUGCGAUUUCUGGAAAAACUGGUUAGAAGGCUUAGUAUUAAGUGUGUUUCCAACUGUGAAAUUUAUCCUUCUGAGCAAUGCCUCCCAGUUUACUCACUUUGUUCCAGGAUUCUCUGCAGCAUAUGGCCACUGGAACCCAUUAAAUAACACAAAGUAAGACAGGCAGCGAUGAGUCAAAAAUAGCUGCACUAGUGAAUCGCCUUUCAAAAUUCUGUCUCUAACAAGAAAAAUAAUGAAGAAUAAGACAUGCAAUUAGAAGAAAUUAAGGUCAAUUUUCAAGCCGGGUUGCCUACAUGGUGGUUUCAAAAUCCACGUUAGGAACCUCAAAUAAAAGCAGUCUGAUUGAACACCUGCAGCUCUUGGCAAUGCACUCGUGUAUAUAAGGCAGCCAGGCAAUUCUUGCACUCAGAGUGUCUACCUCUUGAUUUUAUUUUCCCCAGUUCCUAAACAUUCUAAAACUGGGUUCUAAUCACUAGGUUUAACAUGUUCCUUUUUCCUCCUAAGGAAGAUACCCACUGCUUCCAGUGCAGGGCCAUAUGUGUGCCAUAUACUUGUUGGACAAGUCCCAUUCACUCAGCGUGAGAGUGAAGGCACUUUUUUCAUUACAGGAGCUUGUUGCAUUGUAUUUGGCCAAAUGCGUUGUCACAAUACACUUGGAUUCCUUGCAUCCAGCCUGAGUAAUCUAGAAGUUUGGUGCCCGCUCUAAGGUUUUUUUCUAGAGGUUUUGUUACAGAGGUCAGUAUGUCUGCAAGGAGAUUUCUCUUCUAGAGUGGCUGCCUGAGGUAUUGAGAUUAUUUGUUCUUUGGAGGGACCCAGAUCCCACAGCUGAAGCACCUCCUUCCAAGGGAGCUACAACAGUCAAGCUGAAUCUCACCUCAGUGUUUCCAUGGCUGGUGUCUCCUAUCCCAGAUGAGACACACAGCAUUUUGCUAAUAUGAAAGGCAAAGGUAGACAUCUCUGCUGCUAUAAGAAUAUUACACUAGCAGUGGAUCUGAGCUCAAUGUAUGGGUGUACUGACAUGCUUCAUGGCUGAGGGCAGCUUCCAUUUGCAGCUACACCUUAACCAAACAUUUAUUUAUUUCCUCUCAUUUAAAAUAUGUCUAGUGCUCUCAAUGGGUAUGCUUUGAAUGAGAUAUAUGCAAGUUUCUGAAUAAAGGGAAUUCUAUACUUGAUGCAUUUUCAUACAAUCACAGAAUGGUUUUGAAGCUUUGUUAUUAUACUUAUUAUUUGGUUACGUUUGUAUCCAGCUCCCUUCAUUCGCAAAUAAAAAGAUGCUUCAUCUGGCUGUCCAAAUAAUAUAUUCAAACAAAGUAUACCAGAAAAUAAACAACUGUGCUCUUCUGACCUGUGUUAUGAACAAUAAAAAGUUACCUAAAGGUCCAGA